CCGAGGGCUCCCUCUCUCUUGGGCCUGCAGCCCAAGCUCCCCGACCGCUCGCUGCUCCCCCCCCGCUACUCCCCGCCGUGAGGCCUGUGGUCUAGCCCGCUGGGGUUGACUGAACUUUCCCACUGUGCCUGCGCUGUGCUAGGAGCUUGAAGAGGAAGCCCAUUGGGAGGGAGAUGAGGCACUGCUGUUUCUUUCUGCCUGUUGUUAUUUAGCUCUGGGGUGUGUGUUUGCGCUCGCGACGGUCAUUGUCAAACAGUGGCUCUUGGAAAAUGUCCGGCUUCCGCAAGGAAAAGCAAAGCCCAUUACAAAUGGAAUAGUCAAACAAAAACAAAUUCCUACAUUAGCCACCUCCAAAAGAAUAAGCCUCAAUCUUCAUUCUUCAUCCAUCAGACAUCAGAAAGCUGUCCACACAGUGAUCAACUUUUUUGACUACGAAAAUUCUUGAAAAUGGUUUAGCAAGUGUUGGGGGAAUUACUAUCUGCAUUAAUCGGUAAGGAGAAUAGCUGUACUAAUGAAACCAUGACUCCUGGAAGUAUAUCACAGUUUAGUGAAUUUUAGGGUUAGUUCAUUGAGUGUUGGCCUCAGAGAGUUGAAAGACUGGAAUUCUAAGACCAGUUCUGCCAAUGACAAGCUGUUUGACCUUAGACUAAUCACUUAUUCAUUCUAUUCACCAAAUAUUUACUGAGCACUUACUGUGAGCAAUGCAAUGCAUACUAAGUGUUUAGAGAAAUACAGAUGUAAUAUGGGCAGAAGUUGUCUUUGCUCUUUAAUGGACCCUCAAUUUGCCCCCAAUUCUGAAAUUAGUAGAGCUGCUGUUCACUAGAGAAAGCUCUGAGGUAUCCUUUUACAGGAUUGCAUUAGGUGGGCAUUGACGUGGAAGAAAGGCAGAGUAUCUACCUGCAGCAAAAAUUAGCUAGCAGAGAGCCAGACAUGGAAGAGGACAGUAGCUAAGUAUAAAGAGAAUAGAUAAAAGCCAGCAGCAGAGAGAAGCAGGGAAGAUGGGAGAAGGGUGUCCAGUAUGGCCAGGACAUAGAGUGAUUAUUUUAGAAUUACAGCAAGAAUCUUUAGCAACCAUCAGUAUGCCAGGAGGUAUCAGUGAUCUGUAGCCUGCCCCUUUGGAAUUGGAGCAAAAGAAAUUCAAGAGACAAACCCUAUGCUUCACCAUUGGCAAGGAGUCUGAACUGUGUCUUCCCCGCUGUGGUGGGACAAUAGAAUGCUUAUUACCUGAUUAAAUUCCUUGCCAUGGAUCUGUUUUCAUUAAUUUUUUUCUUUAGAAUUCAUGUCAAGUGUGCGUUCUGGAACAGGACUUUUGCCUUUACAGUCUGAUGCUUAUGUCAGUGUUUCAGUAUAUUCAUGAAAUUCUUCCUCUCAGUCUGCAGUAAUACAGAUGCUGUCUGCAGAAGGCAUUUUAGCUGUUCUGAUUUUUAAUUAGGAAAGCUUCCAUGCCUAAACACUUUCUAACAGUUCUCAGGAUGGUAGCUGAGAGAAACUAUUUUGUCACUGAAAGAGUUGAGGGGGAUAUAGAAUAAUGUAAACAAUAAAUAAUAUCAUAAUAAAAAAGAUAUUUUUAAA
This is a long non-coding RNA of Monodelphis domestica (gray short-tailed opossum), 1572 nucleotides long. The record is from Ensembl. NCBI's taxonomy places the organism in Eukaryota, Metazoa, Chordata, Mammalia, Didelphimorphia, Didelphidae.